AUGGAGACUUUUGAAAUUCACACCCUCUCCUUUCUAAGGCACUUAACUUAUGUUACCAUGUAUUAUAAAUUGAAUUCUACAAAGUACCUUUUAGAUUGCCUUUCACAAAUGUUACUGCUCUCAAUGCUGGUUGCAAGUGGGCCUAUGGGUGCUCAUACCUGCUCAAUAUCAGAAGACUUUGAAGAGGGUGAGAUAAUCUGGACCUGUAAUUUCAUCAGUAAGGAAACUUCCAAGGAUCAGAGCUAAAAGAAGGCAACAGCUCAGACUUGGACAGUAUUUUCUGAAAUACUCCAAAGCUUCCAAAGCAUCCCCAAAUAGCCCAGCUAAAGGCAAAGAAGACAAACAAAAAUGGCUGUUAAUUAAAGGUGUAAUGUUUAUUAUAGCUG
This 386-nucleotide long non-coding RNA is filed under the name Monodelphis domestica (gray short-tailed opossum). Its description in RNAcentral is "lncRNA (ENSMODG00000035867.2)". The record is from RNAcentral. Lineage: Eukaryota; Metazoa; Chordata; Mammalia; Didelphimorphia; Didelphidae.